CCAGACUCCUACGGGAGGCAGCAGUGGGGAAUAUUGCAAAAUGGGCGAAAGCCUGAUGCAGCAACGCCGCGUGAAGGAAGAAGGCUUUCGGGUUGUAAACUUCUUUUCUCAGGGACGAAUAGAUGACGGUACCUGAGGAAUAAGCCACGGCUAACUACGUGCCAGCAGCCGCGGUAAUACGUAGGUGGCAAGCGUUAUCCGGAUUUACUGGGUGUAAAGGGCGUGUAGGCGGGGACGCAAGUCAGAUGUGAAAACCACGGGCUCAACCUGUGGCCUGCAUUUGAAACUGUGUUUCUUGAGUACUGGAGAGGCAGACGGAAUUCCUAGUGUAGCGGUGAAAUGCGUAGAUAUUAGGAGGAACACCAGUGGCGAAGGCGGAUUGCUGGACAGUAACUGACGCUGAGGUGCGAAAGCGUGGGGAGCAAACAGGAUUAGAUACCCUAGUAAC
This 448-nucleotide ribosomal RNA is filed under the name uncultured bacterium. Its description in RNAcentral is "bacterial SSU rRNA". It matches the Rfam family "Bacterial small subunit ribosomal RNA", at positions 331 to 794 of the family's 1533-position model. The record is from RNAcentral.